RNAcentral lists this ribosomal RNA (332 nucleotides) under uncultured bacterium. RNAcentral's name for it is "bacterial SSU rRNA". It matches the Rfam family "Bacterial small subunit ribosomal RNA", at positions 568 to 898 of the family's 1533-position model. The record is from RNAcentral.
CGCGCAGGCGGCUGGGCAAGUGGGUGGUGAAAUCCCCGGGCUCAACUCGGGGUUGGCCACCGAGACUGUCUAGCUGGAGUGUGGGAGAGGAGGGUGGAAUUCCUGGUGUAGCGGUGAAAUGCGUAGAGAUCAGGAGGAACACCGGUGGCGAAGGCGGCUCUCUGGACCACGACUGACGCUGAGGCGCGAAAGCUAGGGGAGCAAACAGGAUUAGAUACCCUGGUAGUCCUAGCCCUAAACGAUGGAUACUUGCUGUGGGGGGUAUUAAAUCCCCCUGUGGCGGAGCUAACGCGUUAAGUAUCCCGCCUGGGGAGUACGGUCGCAAGUCUGAA